RNAcentral lists this non-coding RNA (23 nucleotides) under Rattus norvegicus (Norway rat). The record is from RNAcentral. Lineage: Eukaryota; Metazoa; Chordata; Mammalia; Rodentia; Muridae.
UGAGGAAAACAGACUGCUGCUUC